Molecule: ribosomal RNA, 455 nt
Filed under: uncultured bacterium
Lineage: Bacteria
Description: bacterial SSU rRNA
Rfam family: Bacterial small subunit ribosomal RNA
Source: RNAcentral
ACUCCUACGGGAGGCAGCAGUGGGGAAUAUUGCACAAUGGGCGCAAGCCUGAUGCAGCCAUGCCGCGUGUGUGAAGAAGGCCUUCGGGUUGUAAAGCACUUUCAGUCGUGAGGAAGGUAGUGUAGUUAAUAGCUGCAUUAUUUGACGUUAGCGACAGAAGAAGCACCGGCUAACUCCGUGCCAGCAGCCGCGGUAAGUACGGAGGGUGCGAGCGUUAAUCGGAAUUACUGGGCGUAAAGCGCAUGCAGGUUGGUUUGUUAAGUCAGAUGUGAAAGCCCGGGGCUCAACCUCGGAAUAGCAUUUGAAACUGGCAGACUAGAGUACUGGUAGAGGGGGUAGAAUUUCAGGUGUAGCGGUGAAAUGCGUAGAGAUCUGAAGGAUACCGGUGGCGAAGGCGGCCCCUGGACAGAUACUGACACUCAGAUGCGAAAGCGUGGGAGCAAACAGGAUUAGAU